AUGGGCCUCUUCGGCAGCAGCAGCGACAAGGGCACCCCUAGCGCCUCGUCCUCCCGUACUCCUCCACCCCCUCCUCCUCCGACGCUGGUGCAUUUCCGCCCAGGUCGCCGGCGCCUGCACAUCCCGGUGGACCAAGCGCGGUGGCAUUGGAAGUACAGGAAGCCGCUGCCCUACGCCGACGUCACGCUACCGCACCACUGGCACCUGGAUCCGCAGCGGAUCCCGGUGCCGGCGGUGUCGCCGAGCCAGCGGCCGCAAGACGAGGAGGUGCGCAGGCGCCGCACGCAGCUCACGCCGAAGCAGCGUCGGCUGCCUGAGUACACCGCCGACUCUCCCAACUGGGAGGCUUGGUUCGCCCUCGAACACGAGGAGCAACGGCGUGUAGGCAUCGACGCCGUCCCGCCGCCGUUCCCAUCGCCACCACCGUAG
This 429-nucleotide ribosomal RNA is filed under the name Triticum aestivum (bread wheat). RNAcentral's name for it is "partial small subunit ribosomal RNA". Lineage: Eukaryota; Viridiplantae; Streptophyta; Magnoliopsida; Poales; Poaceae. The record is from RNAcentral.